This 162-nucleotide small nuclear RNA is filed under the name Rosa chinensis. Its description in RNAcentral is "sRNA RchiOBHm_Chr3g0452311". It matches the Rfam family "U1 spliceosomal RNA". From Rfam's summary of the family: U1 is a small nuclear RNA (snRNA) component of the spliceosome (involved in pre-mRNA splicing). Lineage: Eukaryota; Viridiplantae; Streptophyta; Magnoliopsida; Rosales; Rosaceae. The record is from Rfam by way of RNAcentral.
GUACUUACCUGGACGGGGUCAAUGGGCGAUCAAGAAGGCUCAUGGCCUAGACUUGUGACCUCCAUUGCACUUAGGAGGGGUGCUCGUCUAUGGUCUCCUCAUAGUAGGAGAGCCAACGUCAUAAUUUCUUACCAUGGGGGCUUGCGUUCGCGCAGCCCCUGC